AAGCUUGAUCCUGGCUCAGAAUCAACGCUGGCGGCGUGCCUAACACAUGCAAGUCGAACGAGAAAGUGGAGCAAUCCAUGAGUAAAGUGGCGCACGGGUGAGUAACACGUGACUAACCUACCUUCGAGUGGGGGAUAACCUAGGGAAACCUGGGCUAAUACCGCAUAACACUUACGAGUCAAAGCAGCAAUGCGCUUGAAGAGGGGGUCGCGGUCGAUUAGUUAGUUGGCAGGGUAAUGGCCUACCAAGACUGUGAUCGAUAUCCGGCCUGAGAGGGCGCACGGACACACUGGAACUGAAACACGGUCCAGACUCCUACGGGAGGCAGCAGUGGGGAAUUUUGCGCAAUGGGGGAAACCCUGACGCAGCAACGCCGCGUGGAGGAUGAAGUCCCUUGGGACGUAAACUCCUUUCGACCGGGAAGAUAAUGACGGUACCGGAAGAAGAAGCCCCGGCUAACUUCGUGCCAGCAGCCGCGGUAAUACGAGGGGGGCAAGCGUUGUUCGGAAUUAUUGGGCGUAAAGGGUGCGUAGGUGGUUCGGCAAGUCUUGUGUGAAAUCUUCAGGCUCAACUUGAAGUCUGCAUAAGAAACUGCCGGGCUUGAGUAUGGGAGAGGUGAGUGGAAUUUCCGGUGUAGCGGUGAAAUGCGUAGAUAUCGGAAGGAACACCUGUGGCGAAAGCGGCUCACUGGACCAUUACUGACACUGAGGCACGAAAGCUAGGGGAGCAAACAGGAUUAGAUACCCUGGUAGUCCUAGCCCUAAACGAUGAUCGCUUGGUGUGGCGGGUAUCCAACCCUGCCGUGCCGCAGCUGACGCGUUAAGCGAUCCGCCUGGGGAGUACGGUCGCAAGGCUGAAACUCAAAGGAAUUGACGGGGGCCCGCACAAGCGGUGGAGCAUGUGGUUUAAUUCGACGCAACGCGAAGAACCUUACCUGGGCUCGAAAUGUAGUGGAAUCCGGUGGAAACAUCGGCGCCCAGCAAUGGGCCGCUAUAUAGGUGCUGCAUGGCUGUCGUCGGAU
RNAcentral lists this ribosomal RNA (1021 nucleotides) under uncultured Acidobacteriota bacterium. RNAcentral's name for it is "bacterial SSU rRNA". It matches the Rfam family "Bacterial small subunit ribosomal RNA", at positions 9 to 1060 of the family's 1533-position model. Lineage: Bacteria; Pseudomonadati; Acidobacteriota. The record is from RNAcentral.